GAUGAAGAACGUAGUAAAAUGCGAUAAGUAAUGUGAAUUGCAGAAUUCAGUGAAUCAUCGAGUCUUUGAACGCACAUUGCGCCCCCUGGUAUUCCGGGGGGCACGCCUGUCCGAGCGUCAUUGCUGCCCUCAAGCACGGCUUGUGUGUUGGGCCUCCGUCCUCCUCCCGGGGGACGGGCCCGAAAGGCAGCGGCGGCACCGCGUCCGGUCCUCGAGCGUAUGGGGCUUCGUCACCCGCUCUUGUAGGCCCGGCCGGCGCUUGCCGACACAUCAAUCUUUUUUCCAGGUUGACCUCGGAUCAGGUAGGGAUACCCGCUGAACUUAAGCAUAUCAAUAAGCGGAGGA
RNAcentral lists this unclassified non-coding RNA (345 nucleotides) under soil metagenome. RNAcentral's name for it is "partial contains 5.8S ribosomal RNA, internal transcribed spacer 2, and large subunit ribosomal RNA". The stretch from base 1 to 120 matches the Rfam family "5.8S ribosomal RNA", at positions 35 to 154 of the family's 154-position model. The record is from RNAcentral.